Molecule: non-coding RNA, 781 nt
Filed under: Palaestes nicaraguae
Lineage: Eukaryota; Metazoa; Arthropoda; Insecta; Coleoptera; Cucujidae
Source: RNAcentral
AUAAAGUUUUAUUUUGAUUUUAAAUUUAAAUAUAAUUUUAAUUUAUAUAUAAAUUUUAGUGUAAUAGUAUAAAAGUUUUUAAAAAAUUUUUAAUUAUAGUAUUUAGUAAUAAUUAAUUUUAAUAAUUAAAGAAAUUUAGAAUUAGUAAUAAUUGUUAAUAUUAACAAAAUUUGUGCCAGCAGUUGCGGUUAUACAAAUAAUGUAAUUUAAUUUUUUUAGUUUUAUUAAAUUUAAAUAAUUUUAAUUUUUUUUUAAAAUUUAUUAGGUGAAAUUUUAAAUUUUAAUAUAAUUUUAUUCAAAUUUAUGAUUUAGGAAAUUUUAUUUUUAAACUAGGAUUAGAUACCCUAUUAUUUUUAAUGUAAAAUAAUAUAGGCUAGAUUAGUAUUAGAUAUGUUCUUGAAAAUUAAAAAAUUUGGCGGUAUUUUAGUCUAUUCAGAGGAAUCUGUUCUAUAAUUGAUGGUCCACGAUUAAAUUUACUUAUUUUAUAUUUGUAUAUCGUCGUAGAUUAAAUAUUUUAUUAGAAUAUAAAUAUUUAAGAUUUUUGAUAAAAAAAAAAAUCAGAUCAAGGUGCAGUUUAUAAAUAAGAAGAAAUGGAUUACAAUAAAUAAAUUUAAUUGGAUAAAAAUUUUAAAAAUUUUUUGAAAUUGGAUUUGAAAGUAAUUUUUAUUUUAUAAUAAAAAUGAUUUAAGCUCUAAAAUAUGUACAUAUCGCCCGUCGCUUUCAUUAUAAAGUGAAAUAAGUCGUAACAAAGUAGGCCUACUGGAAUGUGGGCCUGGAAUGA